RNAcentral lists this ribosomal RNA (525 nucleotides) under Pezizomycetes sp. genotype 39. RNAcentral's name for it is "eukaryotic LSU rRNA". It matches the Rfam family "Eukaryotic large subunit ribosomal RNA", at positions 56 to 582 of the family's 3401-position model. The record is from RNAcentral. Lineage: Eukaryota; Fungi; Ascomycota; Pezizomycetes.
GAAAAGAAACCAACAGGGAUUGCCUUAGUAACGGCGAGUGAAGCGGCAAAAGCUCAGAUUUGAAAUCUGGCGUCAUUUUGGCGUCCGAGUUGUAGUCUGUAGAGGAGCAUUCGAGUGUAGCGCUGGCUUAAGUUCCUUGGAACAGGGCGUCAUAGAGGGUGAGAACCCCGUUAACGGCCUUUGUCUUAUGCUCAUGUGAAUCUCCUUCAACGAGUCGAGUUGUUUGGGAAUGCAGCUCUAAAUGGGUGGUAAAUUCCAUCUAAAGCUAAAUACUGGCAAGAGACCGAUAGCGCACAAGUAGAGUGAUCGAAAGAUGAAAAGAACUCUGAACAGAGAGUUAAAUAGUACGUGAAAUUGUUGAAAGGGAAGCACUUGCGACCAGACACACUUGCAGUUGAUCAACCUCCAUUUUUGGUGGUGCACUCGGUUGUAGGUGGGUCAGCAUCAGUUACAGCGGUGGGAAAAAGACCGAGGGAAUGUGGCUCCCUUCGGGGAGUGUUAUAGCCCUUGGUGUAAUGCUGCCAG